This 355-nucleotide ribosomal RNA is filed under the name uncultured bacterium. RNAcentral's name for it is "partial 16S ribosomal RNA". It matches the Rfam family "Bacterial small subunit ribosomal RNA", at positions 338 to 710 of the family's 1533-position model. The record is from RNAcentral.
CCUACGGUGGACAGCAGUAGGGAAUAUUGCUCAAUGGGGUAAACACUGAAGCAGCAACGCCGCGUGGAUGAUGAAGGUUUUAGGAUUGUAAACUCCUUUUGUGAGAGAAGAUAAUGACCGUAUCUCACGAAUAAGCACCGGCUAACUCCGUGCCAGCAGCCGCCGUAAUACGGAGGGCGCAAGCGUUACUCGGAAUCACUGGGCGUAAGGAGUGCGCAGGCGGGCUGGUAAGUCAGAUGGGAAAUCCUGUAGCGUAACUAGGGAACUGCAUUUGAAACUGUGGGUCGAGAGUGUGGUAGAGGUAGGUGGAAUUCUUGGUGUAGGGGUAAAAUCCGUAGAUAUCAAGAGGAAUACU